Molecule: unclassified non-coding RNA, 22 nt
Filed under: Mus musculus (house mouse)
Lineage: Eukaryota; Metazoa; Chordata; Mammalia; Rodentia; Muridae
Description: oocyte_clustered_small_RNA5456
Source: RNAcentral
ACCCUGACCCAGACCCUUCAGA